Long non-coding RNA from Cucumis sativus (cucumber), 914 nucleotides. RefSeq lists it as uncharacterized. Lineage: Eukaryota; Viridiplantae; Streptophyta; Magnoliopsida; Cucurbitales; Cucurbitaceae. The record is from RefSeq and is a predicted model, not a curated record. The transcript has 2 exons.
CUUUUUGCGAGCCACAUGUCAAGUCGUGUUAGUUCGAGUCGUAUUCCUUCACCGAGCCUCGUGAGUCAUCUCUGUGGAUCCGAGCCGUUUCGUGUAAGCCAUACGCGAGCCACGCGCAACCGAGCCAUUCCUGUGUGAGUCGUAUGCCAGCCGUGAGUCUCAAGACUCGAGCUGAAGCGUUGUUAGUCGAGCCACCUUCAGUUUUAGCCGUCUGCAACAUAUUUAAGCCCUUGGUGAGUUUUUGCUUAAUUCUCGUUGGUUUGGUACACCCAAAUAAUUAUUGUUUUGGGUCUAAAAUGAGUUAGCACUGGAAUGAGUUGAAUUAUGUUGUUUGAGAUGGUCGUAUAAAUAGUUACUUUGAAAACCAUAUUGUGAUUUAGAUAUAGUAUUAUUUGUUGAGGCAUGCUAUAAUCAAAUAUGUUACUUUUGAGUUAUGUGUAAUUGAGCUAAGAUGUUGAUCUUAUGAUAAACAUGUAUAGGCUAUAGUGUUCUGUUAGUUUUGCCUAUUAGAGUUGUACCGUAUGGGGGUCCAUCAGGGUCACCACCUAUGUAUGCAUGUGUGACUUGUUUGAGAUGUGAUUCGACGGGAUCACUUACAGUCUGACUCUCCUAUAGGAUGAUUCCUUCGGGUUCACCGAGAGCCUAGAUGUGUCCCUACGGAACCACUUGAUAGUAUGCGUUCGGGAGCGCAAUAGUAUGCGGUAAGGGUAGAGGCAAGGGCAUAAUAGCGAAUGAUAAGAAGUGAUCAUAGAUCGCCAUAGGGAACAAUUCAGUUUUCUUCCGCAUUUAUAUUUCAAUAGUUAUAUUUUCAUAGGUUUAUUUCAGAACUCUGGUUCAAUUACUUUAAGUAUUUCUUCUAUUUUUGGGCCCAAACUGGUAUUUUGAUCAGUUAUUUUAACUACUUAUUAUUUAAA